Non-coding RNA from Pantoea sp., 135 nucleotides. Lineage: Bacteria; Pseudomonadati; Pseudomonadota; Gammaproteobacteria; Enterobacterales; Erwiniaceae. The record is from Rfam.
GGGCGACAUACACUCAAAGCCUGAAUGCCUAAGUCAAACGAUAGGGGGUUCAGGCCGCAGCCGACGCGCUGCCAGGGUGCAGAAAGAAAUGCCUGCAUCUCCCGUACUUGGAAAAGGUGUUCUGGUGUCACAAUU